RNAcentral lists this long non-coding RNA (206 nucleotides) under Amborella trichopoda. Its description in RNAcentral is "long non-coding RNA (ATRI_LNC001149)". The record is from RNAcentral. Lineage: Eukaryota; Viridiplantae; Streptophyta; Magnoliopsida; Amborellales; Amborellaceae.
AUCUAUGCAGUACUCUAUCUCUUGAGGUUCACCUAUUAGUGUGGCCAGAUUGAUGGCCAGAUUGCACCACCGUUCGAUGUACUCGAUCGCUGGCUCGUGUGGCUUUUGUUUCACCUCAAAAAGUUCUAAGAGUUGGAGUUUCCUUUCUAUGUCACAGAAGCGCUUAAGGAACUCUUCCUCCAUUUAUGCCCAUGAUGAGAUUGAUC